AAAACAAAACACGCGUUUCCAUUCCCAAAUUUCAGAAACAUUCAUCCAUUCCAAUAUUCAAGAUUCAAAAAACACAAUUCGCGAUUUCUUCCCAAAAUCGAUUCAUCUGUUCUUCUUCUUCUUAAAAUUGAUUCUCAAAACGCAAUUCAGAAACGCGAUUCAUUUCAUUCAGAUUUGUUGCUUCUUCUGGCAAAGAACCCUAAUUCGCUAUGUUCUGUUGAUUAUUGUCGCAAACUCAGAAAUUGAUUCUUCUUCCUAAACUUACGAACCCUAGUCCGUUCAUUGACCUGAGAAAGAUGAGGAAACACGAUUCAUUCAAAGAAAUCGACGAACCCUAGCCUCAUUCAAAGAGAUCAACGCGAUUAUUUCCUUUCUUUCAGACAUCUAUUCUCACAAGGUAUCUUCAGCUUCAAGAUGAAGGGGUAACUAAAAAGGUAGUACUAUUUUAUUUUAUGGUAUUGAAAUUGGAAUACACCUUUAAUGAGGUUAUAUAUGUUACCUUGAUUAACUAGUAUGAAUUACCUAGUUUCCGAUUUGAAUCGUUCACUGAGUUAGACUACCUAUGUUGGAUGGAUUGCUCUGUCGAGGAUUCACCACUAAAUGGUUUUGCAUUUAGAUUUCUUAUUUCUAUUAUCUUUUGAAUCUUUGAUUUAGUUUCUGAUGAAGAAACGUUGCAGGGGUUUGUGAAUGUAGUUAUGAUGUUGUUUUAUCUGUUUUUUUUCGGGAAAUCAUUGAUCAAAUUGAUGAAGAAUCAGAUCGAUGUGGUAAGGAGAUAAGGGAAAGCAACAGAGAUGUUUCAAACUAGUCCUCCUGCAAUUGAGAGGUUUUCCAGUGGCUUCAUGGUCUACUUCUCAACCCCGCAGAUUGACUUUCUCUACAUCUGAUUUAACAAAAAGGGUAGGGCUGUGCAUAGUAGGGAAUUGUUAUUUCGACACUUGUAUUGCCUUUCUCUAUCCUCCAUUGGAUAUAUCGGGUGGUUGAUAUAUUUGAUUGAGAGGCUGCUGUAGACACUUAGGAUGGAGAUGAUCCGGAUCCGAUAUAAUUACUAUUGUGUAUAUACUUGUCACAAAUUUGGAAUUUUAUACAAAAUUUUUAUAUCAAUGAAUACAGGAAGUAAGUCAUCAAAUGGCCAAAAUAUAGCUCAACUGAAGUAAGCCAUCUAAAUUGUGUUACUUCAUUAAUAUUCUCAUAUACUCUCGUUUUACUUGGUUUAGCGUGUUAGUAAUGAAGACAAAGCGCCUCCGACUCUUGGUGUCAAAAUUGUUUGUGAUGAAGCACUGAUUAGUUUAAAAUUAAAAAGAGGAAAUUAGGAGGAAGAGGCAUAAUAAUCUGUUAGCAAGGCUUAUGUCCCAUGUACGACGGCUCCAUCACUCUUGCACGAAGGCUCUGUUUUUUCCUGCACGAUUGCUACUUCCGCGUGUGAUUUUUGAUAUUUAUUGGAUACUAUUGUGUAAUCAGCAGCACUCUAUGGCCUGCUUCUACUUUAUGCAUAAUUGCAACAAUGUAAAAAAGACUCAAAUAGAAGAAGGCUAAGCUUUUUUGCCGGGAGUUUGUAUGUUUUGCUGCAGUACAUAAGUAGUUUGCAGAAGGAUGUUGGGAGUUGGUGAACAAUAUUUUGGUACUAAUUAAUUUUGUUUUUCAUUCCUUGCACAUUUUGCUCUUUUAUGAGUAUAAUAAUUAUAAAAUCAGGUUCUAUGUGCAAAAGGUUUGUUCUCUAAUUAGCUUCAAUAGUUCCUCGCAAAUCCCAAUCACCAUUUUAUUUUUGGACUAAUUAUAUUAUAUAGUACUUAUAUUGUAAUUCUUUAUUUUAUUUUGGAUCAGGCUGGCCCUAAAAUGUCUAUAUUUUUGGCUUAUGGGGGCUUAUUUCGAGUUACAGGUAGAGAGGAUGGCAAAAUACUACUUUAUAAUAUGCUGAAGUCUCAUAUUUUAGUGAUGUAUUGUUAUGUUUUUGUUAAGAAACCAUAAUAGGAUUGUUCAUUAGGAUAUUUAAUGACUAUAUACAGUACAUGUUCAACAUAGUAUAACUUGUAUUCUUUUUUGAUAUGUAAUUUGAUAAGUUUUCAUAUCU
Molecule: long non-coding RNA, 2068 nt
Organism: Trifolium pratense (red clover)
Lineage: Eukaryota; Viridiplantae; Streptophyta; Magnoliopsida; Fabales; Fabaceae
Exons: 7
Source: RefSeq, a predicted model, not a curated record